CUGCCUUCAGGGCAGUUGUGUGGGCUGCGUGUGUUGGGUCGGGCUGUGAGGGGUGUCCCCUUGUUUUAAACCUGUGGCCUCCCUCUGUCCUUCUGGUGUCUUCAUUUGUCCGGGGGGGUUCCCUCUCUUCCUCUUGCUUGCAGCCUCUAGCAUUUAAGGUCUAGGGUAGGGGCAGACAAUUAUUUUGGGCAAAGGGUUUUGGCAAGCUAUUGAGGGCCGCAUGAGAGCGGGGGGCCGAUAAAUAUAAACUUUCUAAAUCUUUAGGGGCCCCGCGGGCUGGAUAGAACGGCCUGGUGGGUUGUAUGUGGCCUGUGGGACACAUUUUGCCUAACCUGGUCUAGGGACCUCUGAUUCAGAGGCUGUGCCCCUUGCUCCCUGCUCAAUAAUAAUUGCCUGGAACCACUAGCGGGGAAACCAGUAAACCCAAAAGUGCACUUUUACCAGCACCUCUGGUUUCGGGGCUGGCGCUUCCAGGGGUGCGUGGCCAAUCUCAGGGUGCACGUGCACCUGCCUGCACCCCUUACAUGUCACCAAUGCCAUGUUUGGUUAAAACUUAGCACCUACUCAUUUCAUUUUGUGACCCUGAGCUCUUGUAUUGUGAGAGAUGGUCAAUAAUAAAUCCCUGUUUACUUUCUCUUUGCAAUUUAGUGUAUUGUAAACCCUUAUGUCACACCUCAAGCAUCUCCUUUCUAAAAUGACUAGGCCUUGCCUUUUUACUCUCCUUGCAUGGAAGCCCCUCCAUGCUCUUAUUAUCCUGGUUGCCCUUCUUUAGUUCUAUGUUUUGGAGGUGUGAGAACCAGAACUGGGUACAGUAUUCAAAGUGUGGACGCACCAUGGAUUUAUAAAGGAACAUAAUGGUACUUUCUGUUUUGUUUAUAAUUCUGUUUUGUAAUCAUUUCUGAUGUUUUAUUUGCUUUUUGACAGAUGCUGAGCACUGAGCUGAUGUUUUUAGCAAACUGCCCACGAUCACUCCCUCAUCUCUUUCCUUUAUGGUAAUGGCUCAUGUGGAGCCCAUCAUAAUGAAGCUGGCAGGAGCUCAAAUCAUGGGAAGGGGAGAGAAGGGCGCAUCAAAGGAGGCAAGACUUACAAGGCCUUUUGCUGGGAACAGGAUGAAGAACAAAGUGAAUAAACUUAUGCAGCUUGCAGAAGGAAACAUCUUUGCUGUGCAGAUUUUCUGGAUCUGUUUCUUAGGACAGAGGGAAAGCAGAUCUUAACAUACGCUGAUGACCUGCACACCUGCCACUUGAAUAUGAC
Long non-coding RNA from Crocodylus porosus (Australian saltwater crocodile), 1254 nucleotides. NCBI's taxonomy places the organism in Eukaryota, Metazoa, Chordata, Crocodylia, Crocodylidae. The record is from Ensembl.